AGACUCAAACCUGAACCUUCAUCAUACAUUAAUGUUAAUAAGAAUGUUCAGUUCAGUGAGAAGUUUUGAACAUCGAACUUCAUAUUUUCGAACAUACCUAGUUCAACUUAUGUACAUUUUAUGUACACUUUUCAGUAUUUGAUUUAUAUUGAACAGUAACUUUGUUGUCAAAUUGAUAAAAGGUUUGCUCGUGAAGUAGAGCCUCCCAUCCUCUAUCCUCGGCCUAGCCUCCAUCCUCCCCCAGGGAAAAGAUUGAAGAUGAUUAAACGAGAAACUGCCACAGUUGUCAUGGUCCCAGUGCAUGCUGAGGACUACUCUAAACUAAACGAGUUUGCUGAGGCUGCCUGGAUAGUGAGAGAUCCAGGGAAUGCGGAUAUAAUUCGACAGCGUCGAUCAGAUCUCUUAAGGACGCACAACAAGGGGUUGAUAAGAGAACUGGAGAAGAAGAAGCAGAAUUGAAGUGUACACCACUUUGGCUGAAUUUUUUGCUCAAGGCAUUUUUUUAAUUUUUUGAAAUAUCAGUUCCGUUCCUUGUUUACUUUACUUGUUUCCGAUUUAGUACAGGUUCGCCUAUUUGUCCUUCUGUACUUAUAUUGUGAUUUUGAUUUACUCAUGUACCUUGCUGUUAAGUGUACAUUGUACACCGUGUAAAUUCUACAGAUGUUUGUGAAAACGAGAAAUUCUAUUGUACGUGAAAUAAAUACUCGUUAAUAAUUUGUUA
Molecule: long non-coding RNA, 721 nt
Organism: Eurytemora carolleeae
Lineage: Eukaryota; Metazoa; Arthropoda; Copepoda; Calanoida; Temoridae
Exons: 4
Source: RefSeq, a predicted model, not a curated record